AUUGAACGCUGGCGGCAUGCUUUACACAUGCAAGUCGGACGGCAGCACAGAGGAGCUUGCUUCUUGGGUGGCGAGUGGCGAACGGGUGAGUAACGCAUCGGAACGUACCGAGUAAUGGGGGAUAACUGUCCGAAAGGACAGCUAAUACCGCAUACGCCCUGAGGGGGAAAGCGGGGGAUCUUAGGACCUCGCGUUAUUCGAGCGGCCGAUGUCUGAUUAGCUGGUUGGCGGGGUAAAGGCCCACCAAGGCGACGAUCAGUAGCGGGUCUGAGAGGAUGAUCCGCCACACUGGGACUGAGACACGGCCCAGACUCCUACGGGAGGCAGCAGUGGGGAAUUUUGGACAAUGGGCGCAAGCCUGAUCCAGCCAUGCCGCGUGUCUGAAGAAGGCCUUCGGGUUGUAAAGGACUUUUGUCAGGGAAGAAAAGGAACGUGUUAAUACCA
This 444-nucleotide ribosomal RNA is filed under the name Neisseria bacilliformis. RNAcentral describes it as "bacterial SSU rRNA". It matches the Rfam family "Bacterial small subunit ribosomal RNA", at positions 30 to 468 of the family's 1533-position model. The record is from RNAcentral. Lineage: Bacteria; Pseudomonadati; Pseudomonadota; Betaproteobacteria; Neisseriales; Neisseriaceae.